Molecule: ribosomal RNA, 513 nt
Filed under: uncultured bacterium
Lineage: Bacteria
Description: partial 16S ribosomal RNA
Rfam family: Bacterial small subunit ribosomal RNA
Source: RNAcentral
GACGAACGCUGGCGGCGUGCUUAACACAUGCAAGUCGAACGAAAAGAGGGAAAGAGCUUGCUCUUUCCGGAAUUGAGUGGCAAACGGGUGAGUAACACGUACACAACCUGCCUUCAGGAUGGGGACAACAGACGGAAACGACUGCUAAUACCGAAUCAGUUCCAAGAGCCGCAUGGCCCAUGUAAGAAAAGGUGGCCUCUACCUGUAAGCUAUCGCCUGAAGAGGGGUUUGCGUCUGAUUAGCUGGUUGGAGGGGUAACGGCCCACCAAGGCGACGAUAAGUAGCCGGUCUGAGAGGAGGAACGGCAAACAUGGAACUGAGACACGGGCCAGACUCCUACGGGAGGCAGCAGUGGGGAAUCUUCCGCAAUGGGCGAAAGCCUGACGGAGCAACGCCGCGUGAGUGAUGACGGCCUUCGGGUUGUAAAACUCUGUGAUCCGGGACGAAAAGGCAGAGUGCGAAGAACAAACUGCAUUGACGGUACCGGAAAAGCAAGCCACGGCUAACUACGUG